Molecule: ribosomal RNA, 498 nt
Filed under: uncultured bacterium
Lineage: Bacteria
Description: partial 16S ribosomal RNA
Rfam family: Bacterial small subunit ribosomal RNA
Source: RNAcentral
AUUGAACGCUGGCGGCAUGCCUUACACAUGCAAGUCGAACGGUAACGCGGGGCAACCUGGCGACGAGUGGCGAACGGGUGAGUAACGCAUCGGAACGUGCCCAGUAGUGGGGGAUAGCCCGGCGAAAGCCGGAUUAAUACCGCAUACGACCUACGGGUGAAAGGGGGGGAUCGCAAGACCUCUCGCUAUUGGAGCGGCCGAUGUCCGAUUAGGUAGUUGGGGGGGUAAAGGCCUACCAAGCGGACGAUCUGUAGCUGGUCUGAGAGGACGACCAGCCACACUGGGACUGAGACACGGCCCAGACUCCUACGGGAGGCAGCAGUGGGGAAUUUUGGACAAUGGGCGAAAGCCUGAUCCAGCCAUGCCGCGUGCGGGAAGAAGGCCUUCGGGUUGUAAACCGCUUUUGUCAGGGAAGAAAUCUUCUGGGUUAAUACCUCGGGAGGAUGACGGUACCUGAAGAAUAAGCACCGGCUAACUAUGUGCCAGCAGCCACCGUAA